GGCGCCGUAGCGAAGAAGUUUACGCAGCGGUCUGCAAAACCGCUUACGCCGGUGCAAUUCCGGCCGGCGCCUCAA
This 75-nucleotide transfer RNA is filed under the name Parcubacteria bacterium DG_74_3. RNAcentral describes it as "tRNA-Cys". It matches the Rfam family "tRNA". Rfam says of the family: Transfer RNA (tRNA) molecules are approximately 80 nucleotides in length. Their secondary structure includes four short double-helical elements and three loops (D, anti-codon, and T loops). Lineage: Bacteria; Candidatus Parcubacteria. The record is from RNAcentral.